CUUACUGCUAUCGGGAUGAGACUAAGCCAUGCGAGUUAUGCGCUCUCUAGCCAUGAUGGGAGUGCGGCAGACGGCUCACUAACACGUAGCUAACCCGCCCUUAGGAUGGGGAUAACCCCGGGAAACUGGGGCUAAUACCCAAUAGGUGGUAGUGCCUGGAAUGGCUAUCCACUGAAAAGAUGUUAGUAACAUGCUUCUAACCUUGCCUAAGGAUGGAGCUGCGGCCGAUCAGGUUGUUGGUAGGGUAACGGCCUACCAAGCCUACAACCGGUACGGGCCCUGAGAGGGGGAGCCCGGAGAUGGGAACUGAGACAAGGUCCCAGGUCCUACGGGGCGCAGCAGGCGCGAAAACUCCACAAUGCACAAAAGUGUGAUGGGGUCAUCCCGAGUGCCGUCCGAUGAGGAUGGCUUUUUCUCAGUGUAAGGAACUGGGAGAAUAAAGGGGGGGCAAGUCUGGUGUCAGCCGCCGCGGUAAUACCAGCCCCCUGAGUGGUAAGGACGAUUAUUUGGCCUAAAGCGUCCGUAGCCGGCUCUUAAAGUCCUUCGUUAAAUCUAACGAUUCAAUCGUUAGACCGCGAAAGAUACUGUUGGGCUCGAGGACGGGAGAGGUUGACGGUAGUCCUGGGGUAGGGGUGAAAUCCUAUAAUCCCAGGAGGACCACCAGUGGCGAAGGCGGUCGACUAGAACGUGCCUGACGGUGAUGGACGAAAGCUGGGGGAGCGAACCGGAUUAGACACCCGGGUAGUCCCAGCUGUAAACGAUGCGGGCUAGGUGUUGGGACAGCCAUGAGCUGUUCCAGUGCCGCAGAGAAGUUGUUAAGCCCGCCGCCUGGGAAGUACGGCCGCAAGGCUGAAACUUAAAGGAAUUGGCGGGGGAGCACCACAAGGGGUG
RNAcentral lists this ribosomal RNA (891 nucleotides) under uncultured archaeon. RNAcentral's name for it is "bacterial SSU rRNA". It matches the Rfam family "Archaeal small subunit ribosomal RNA", at positions 23 to 890 of the family's 1478-position model. The record is from RNAcentral.